This 13612-nucleotide long non-coding RNA is filed under the name Sorghum bicolor (sorghum). Its description in RNAcentral is "long non-coding RNA (SBIC_LNC001007)". The record is from RNAcentral. Lineage: Eukaryota; Viridiplantae; Streptophyta; Magnoliopsida; Poales; Poaceae.
GACGUGGCCCCUCCGACGGCGGUUGGUCCCAGACCUAGCAUCGCCCCCAUCGCCGCUCCAGCCAUGGCGCUGGCCUCUUGCCUCGUCUUGCGCUCCCAUCAGGUUCUUUUGCUCACCCCUUGGCUUCUCUCUACAUCGUGCUUUGAGGAACCCUAGUCUCUUGCUGAUCAGAUCCUGUGACGUCUGUGUUGAAAAUUUCAUGAUUAGAAAAUGAGAUUCCUUAGUUCGUUCGCUAGAUUGGGAAUUGGAGGGGCAGACAGUGGAGACGACACACUCUUUUCUUACAGAUUCUUUCAACCUGAAUGUGAAUCCCUGUUUAGAUAUUUUCUCAUAUGGAACGCCAUGGUGUCAAUGCAGGCCAUGUCUACAAGACGCGGGUGCUGAACUGCUAACUCACGGCUUCUACUUUCCUGUGCAUAGUAAGUUCUAUUAUGUGUGUUAACUGUAUAACUUAUUUUUUUAUAGAGAUGAUCAUGUGUCGACGAAAGCUAGUCGGCAGUCUACCUUGGGGUAUACCCACGGUAGUAGUUUAUCGGUAGACGGUGCGCAAACUACGAACUCGAUGGUGACGCAAGACACGGACAAGCUUUUUAUCCAGGUUCGGCCGCCGAGUUGGCGUAAUACCUACGUCCUGCGUCUGGUUGUAUUGAUUUGUGCUGAGAGAAUAUAUGAUGUCCUAGGGGGGUCCCUCGCCCCUCCUUAUAUAGUCUGGAGGGCGGGGUUACGGAUCUGGAAACUAAUCCUAGUCGGUUACAAUUGCCAUGGAUAAUUCGAUGUUAAUUCCUAUUCUAACCGACUAGAAUCCUGCUUGAUCUCCACAUCUUGUUUCCUUGCGCGAAACUCCAGGUUGUCGGAUCAAGCCUUGAACUCGUCUCGUAAUGGACCAAGCCUGCUGGCCGAAGUCUAGCCGUAAGGGUAUAGGGGUUUAUACCCCCACAGCUAGUCCCCGAGCACCAUGUAUUGUGAUGUAACACGCCGUCUUGAGCUUCUUCGAUCAGUGUGGCUCGACGUCUUCAAUAAGCAGGAAAGUCGCCCGAACAGUUGCAACGGUAUUUUGACCAACUCAAAAGACAGUUGAUCAAUCAUAGACAUCGAAGAAGCAGGUUGUUCGAAGAAUGCAUGGUGCUCUUAAAAAAUUUCUUUCCUGGUGAAGUGUGCCCACUUUACCUUUUUGAAAGGUAUAAACAUCAAAAAAGCAAGCAAAUUCACCGCUAGGUGAAGUGUGCCCACUUAGUCCCCGAGCCUGGUAGUAGGUGACGUAGGCACGUGGUGCCAGGGUCAAAAGAAAAUUCCCCAAAGUAGUUUUGAGACUGAGAUGCAUCGCUAGAUGCAUCGUACCGAUGUAGUCCCCGAGCUUGCUGGAAGGCGAAGUAUGAGCCUUGUAGCAAGGUCAAAAGUGAAUUUACCAGUCCCCGAGCAUGUCAUGCUCGUCUGCAAAUGAAAAGACCAAUCGACCAGUCCCCAAGCACUAAGUGUGCUCCUUGGAAUUAUAUGUUGCUAUACCGUACGACCAGUCCCCGAGCGUCGAGUGCUCGGUGGUCGGUGCAUGCUUUAAAGCUUUGAGCUGAUAGACUGGGCGACCGGUCCCCAAGCGUCGAGUGCUCGGUGGUCGGUGCAGUCCUUGAAGUUCCGAGCUGAUAGACUGGGCGACCAGUCCCCGAGCGUCGAGUGCUCGGUGGUCGGUGCAGUCCUUGAAGUUCCGAGCUGAUAGACUGGGCGACCAGUCCCCGAGCGUCGAGUGCUCGGUGGUCGGUGCAGUCCCCGGAUUGUUGACUCACUGGCGUAUGUGUCUUCUUAUUUUUGAAAAGAUCUGUCUAGUUAAAGUUGACGUGAUGAGGCCUCCUGACGGGGUGUCAGACGGAUGCAUGAAAAGUUGCACCUGACAACUGUACAGCCGCCCUUUGCAUGGUUUGAGAAAAGGAAACCAUCAAUUGGUACGAAAACUCCGCCGCAUUAAUUGUCUAUAAUCAUUGUAAACCGAAACGCCGCGUCCGCCGCAUGGCCUGCCCACUUCCCGAGAAUACAGGAAGUGGGAGAGGUGGAGUUGCGGGCUUAUAAGAGCCUAAUAGGUCCGCCUGUACCGCUUUCGCUGCCAUUGCCUUCAAACCUUCCGCUCUCAUCUUCUCCAAUCUCCUGCAUCUUCCUAACUCAAGCCCACAUUCGCACCUCUAAUGGCGAAGAGCGACUCCAGGAAGAGGGCCGAACUGAUGGCCAAGGAGUGGAAGAAGUCUCGCAGCACCACAAAAUCUCUUGGUGACCUCGUCGAUAUGGGGCUUCUGCACGGCCCGGAGCUCGGCGGCUGGAGGGCACCGGAGGGGGAGAGCUACCCCGACCCUCGCGCCGGUGAGAUCGUCGUAUUUGAAGAUUUCAUUAAGAGGGGUUUUGGUGUUCCUGUUCAUCCUUUUCUUCAAGGUCUUCUUUUGUAUUAUGAGAUCGGGAUUUGCAAUCUGCACCCGAACUCAAUUCUCCUCAUUUCCACCUUUAUCCACCUGUGCGAGGCCUAUGUUGGCAUAGAGCCGCACUUCGAUCUUUUUCGGUAUCUUUUCUGCUUGAGGAAAAAGGGAGCAGUUGGAGGCUCCAAGGUUGCAGGUGGAGUAUACCUCAACCUUCGUGAUGGAAUGAAGAAUCGCUACCUGCACUGCCCAUGGAACACUUCCUUGACCGAAUGGUACAGGAAGUGGUUCUACAUCAGGGAGGAACCGGGCAGCUCCACGUUCUGCGACGUGGGAUACAUUCCUGAGAAGAGGACGAGCUGGACUGACCGCCCGGAGUUCGACGGUCCAGUGGCGGAUCUCAUGAAGCUGAUCGACUGGUCGCGCCUGGACGGGCUUGGCGUGGUCGGCAACUUCAUUUGCCGCCGGGUGAUGCCCUGCCAGAAGAGGGUGCACUCGGCGUACGAGUAUGCCGGAAGCGCGGACCCGACCAGGAUGCGGUCGGAGAUCUUGGAGAAAGCGGAGGUACAACAGCUGUUGAACGAGCUAUUUAACUUCGCGGAUGGGGGCUUCAUCCGUGGCAGUGAUCGGGUGCAAGCCUUCAAGUUAGGACGACCAGCACCAAAGGUAUGUAGCAUAUUCUGUUUUAGCAUUCGUAUAUCGCCUGCAGUUGACUCAUCUCUGUUGCUUUUGCAGAUCGGCAAUGUCGACCGGUGCACAGUGUAUGUAUCACUGGCACCGGGGAUGGAAAAUCCUGCGGGAGAGGUCCCGCCAGAGGAGGACGCUGCUCGGUGUACUCAUUACACCAGCAGUGAGGAAGACCAAGCCCGCCCCGUCCCGACCUCCGAGGAGAGGGUAGCGGGGAAAAGGCCAUUGCCGGCAGAUCCCUUGCCGACACCGGAGCUGCCGGCAGAUCUACCGGCGGAGAGCAGCCAAGCACCGAAGCGUCGUCGGCUCGUGCGGAUCGUCGACGAUGACGACGACGAGGAGGCUGCGCCGUCGUUGGUCCGACGGCCUCGGAGCCGCCCAGAAAAUGCGCCGGUCGCCACUGAUCGAGUGGCCAGCGGCGCCGCAAGCUGUCGAGAUGGGGGCACAGGUGCCGACCGGCCGGGCGAGGAGGAGGUUCACCGCGACCCACCGUCGGUCAGACCUGUAAGUGUUCGACUUACGUAUUUUGGACUCCUCUUUUUUUUUUGAAAUUUGACUUUUGUUCCUGUAGUGCGGCAUCGGAUGUCGACCCCGGCCAAACCGCCAGCCAGGGAACGGGCGAGCCUGCCCGCGGUUCUGGGGAUGCGGCCCCCCAGACCACAGAGCAGCCAACAGCUGCGGUCGCGCCUGGGAGCACCGAGGGGCUCCCGAGCGCGGCACCGACUACGACAAGCAGCCCGACCAGGGCUGGAGAGGCUCCCCCAACUGACUCCUCAGAGAAGGGAAGAUCUCCGACCGCUCCUCCUGCCGGGGGGAGUGAAGUCCCCACGCCGCCCCGAGCAGGAGCCUCUUCGGCUGCGGGCUCCCCAGGUCUGGUCCAAGGGCCAGUAAUACCUGGGACCACCACCGGGGGUGACGCAGCACAGGAGGAGGAAACCCGGGUGGCCUCCGAUGAUGAGGUGGAAGAGAUCGAGGGUCGUCCCCGUGAUGGCCGCCAACACGUGUAUGUGUGGCGCCAACGCGGGGAUCACUUUAUCGGGCAUGAGGAGCUCGCCGAGACCGAAGAGGCCGCCAGGGUGGAGCGCGCGGCCAAGCGCCUCGUCGACGAAGUCAAGGUAAGCGGCUUUUUGUACUGCUGCACAUUCUUUUGCCUUGUCUUGCAUGGUCGUUAUAUGCUUGCUUUGUAGGACACAAUGAAAACGGCGAAGUACCGGAAACGGUGCUUUGACCAGAUAGAAGGCGUCAUGGCCGAGAACAAGGCCCUUGCCGCAGAGGUAGACUGGUUGCGGGCGGAGGUCGGGGAGAAGGUGGUCGAGAUGAGUGCCGAAAAGGAGCGUCGUCUCGACCUCGCUCGUCGUUUGGCCGACCAGUACCGGCUGCAAGAAGGUUAGUCACACGCUCCGAGCAGCUUCGCGUACUUGUAUAGUUUGCUUUGCUGACCAGUUUAGGAUUAACGCAGACUUGGAGGAGGAGGUGGAGAGCCUCCGACAAGAGAAGGAGCAGCUCAGCCAACAGCUCGCCGGUGCGCUGGAGUCCGGGCGGCGAGCAGGAGAGGAAUUGGGUCGAAAAGACCGGGAGCUAUCUGGUAAUGGGUGCCGCCUUGUUGGUUGCUGCCUGCCCCUUUUUUAUGCCUAAAAUAACGCUUUGUUUCGUUUGCAGUGCUCAAGGUGAACGCCAAGAAGCACCUGGAUGAUCUGACCAAGGACCGGGACUCCUGGAAGGUCAACUGUUGCAGGAUCUGGAAAGGAGUGUCCCCGGUCCUAGACCUGAUCAGUCCCGAGCUCCCGGAGAGCCAGCCCCGCGCGCCGCAGUUGACCCCGGUCGAGAAGGCGCAACGGGCGUGGGACUGGCUCCAGCAGUUUGUGAAGGACGCCGGGGAGUUUGCCGGCGCGCACGUCCUCAGCAUGGUGCGCGCCCACUACCCCCUGGUCGACUUGAGCAGGCUGGAGAAGGGGUACCCGAAGGAAGUCGGCCCGCAGGACGCGGACGAGCUUCGGGGUAGUCUGCUGGACUUGUCGUCGACAGUGAUCGGCGACAUCAAUCUGUGCGGAACGGCCACUCCUCCAGACCAGCCGAGUUCAGAUAAGUCGGCCAGGGAGUUGUCGGGCGCGUCCGUUGCGGGAGAUGGGCGGUCGACGCCUGCGGUCUCAACCAGCCAGGCGCCGGUGGCCCCGACCCCUUCGUCCGGGCAGCAGGGCCAGGCGGGUGAUCAGCCCGAGCAGCUAGGCCAAUAAAGUAGUCUGUAGGAAUAGACUAGUGUCUGCCCGUCAGGGGAUUUAUUGUAAACUUUGUAUGUAAAGUUUGUAAUAAAGUUUACUUUUUGUCAUGACUGUUGUUUUGAGCGCUGUAAGAAUAUCUGAGUGACGUGUCACCGUAUUUGUCUUGGUUGUCGCUAAGAGCAUCCAUUGCAGGAGUUUUGCCGAGUGCUGUGUGUGACAAGGUAUAGGCAAAAAAUAGAGAAUUCCAUUAUCAAAAAUUAUAAGAUACUUACAAAAGAAAGUCAUUAAAACUUUAUGGAUAGAAACGUCGCAGUUUGUCGAUGAGCCAAGAGUUAGGCACUCGUGUUCCGUCUGGGUAUGCCAAUCUGUAGGACGUAGGUCGUGUGACCUCGGUCACCACGAAGGGUCCUUCCCAGGGAGUGGAUAGCUUGUGCAUUCCCUCCUGGCUUGUUUUCCAUCGAAGCACCAGAUCGCCGACCACGAAGGAACGGUCCUUGACGUUCCUGUUGUAGUAUCGCCUGACUGCCGCGAGAUAUUUUGCUGUUCGGAGACAUGAAACUAAACGCUUUUCCUCCAUGCAAUUGAUUUCGAGUUCUCUGGCGUUGUCGGCGGUCGCCUGGUCGAAGUGCUCGAUUCUAGGAGAUCCGAAGUGUAUGUCAGACGGCAGGACCGCCUCUGCACCGUACACCAUGAAGUAGGGAGACACCCCUGUGUUUCGACUGGUCUGGGUUCGGAGGCCCCAGACCACUGCCGGCAAUUCUUUCAUCCAUCGACCGGGUGCUCUGUCGUUUUCGGUGUACAGCCUUUUCUUUAGGGCGUCAACGAUCAUUCCGUUAGCACGUUCGACUUGACCGUUGGCACGUGGAUGUGCCACUGACACAUAUUUUAUGACUAUGCCUCUGUCAUCGCAGAAAUCCCAAAAAGUGGUGCCAGUAAACUGAGUGCCCAGGUCGGUGAUUAUGCUGUUCGGGAUGCCGAAUCUGUGUAUGAUUUGAUUGAGGAACUCCACAACCUUCUCGGAGGUUGCCUUGACCAGGGGCAUGUAUUCAAUCCACUUGGAGAACUUGUCGAUUAACACGAAGACAAACUUGAAAUUGCCCGGGGCUGGUUUAAAUGGUCCGAUCAUGUCAAGCCCCCAGCAAGCAAAGGGCCAAGACGACGGGAUGGUUUGAAUUUCAUGGGCAGGUACGUGGGUCCUCUUAGCGAAAAACUGACAUCCUUCGCAAUGCCGAACCAGUUUUUCUGCGUCGCCGACCGCGGUUGGCCAAUAAAAACCUGCUCGGAAAGCCUUUCCGACCAGCGUUCUAGAUGCGGCGUGAUUGCCGCAGGAUCCAGCGUGUAUGUCCUCCAAAAGCUUGAUACCAUCAUCUUGGGGUAUGCACUUGAGCAGUACUUCGGAGCUUGCGUUUUUCCGCAUGAGUUUUCCGUCGACCAGGAUGUAGUUCUUUGAUCGUCGGAUGAGGCGCUCGUUCUCUGUUUUGUCCUGAAAGCCUGUCCCGUCUGAUAUGUAUUUGAUGAACGGGGUACGCCAGUCACGUCCACCGGUUGUCGGAGUGGCGUCAUCUAUGAGCAUUGCCUCGGUGGGUUGCUUGUCGACCAGGGGGGAGCUUACGCUCGGCUCAUGGAUGUCUUGGACGAGAAUACCCCGCGGGAUUUGGGCCCGAGAUGAGCAUAACUUUGACAACGCAUCUGCUGCUUGGUUCUUAUCCCGGACCACGUGGAUGUACUCUAUGCCAUAGAAGUUAGUUUCCCAUUUGCGAAUUUCUUUGCAGUAGAGAUCCAUCUUCUCGUGGGUUGCGUCCCACUCCUUGUUGAGCUGGUUGAUGACCAAAGCGGAGUCGCCGUAGACAUAGAGGCGCUUGACCCCCAGUUCAACGGCUAGUCGUAUGCCAUGCAAGCAUGCUUCGUACUCGGCGACGUUGUUUGACGCCGGAAAAAGGAUCCGAAGGACGUAACGGAGUUUGUCCUUGUUGGGUGAUACGAACAAUAUCCCAGCGCCCGCACCGUUGAUGUUCAAGGACCCGUCGAAGAACAUUGACCAGUGGUCUGAGACAUCGGGAACGGAAGGCUCGUUGAGAUCCGUCCAUUCGGCAAUGAAAUCGACCAGGGCUUGAGACUUGACAGUGGUGCGACUCUGGAACUCCAGGGAAAAUGGACAUAAUUCCAUUGCCCAUUUCACGAUUCUGCCAUUGGCGUCUUUAUUGCGCAGGAUGUCCCCGAGAGGAAAGCUGGUUGUCACCAGGACUCGAUGGCCGUCGAAGUAGUGCUUCAGCUUUCUUGACGUUAUCAGGAUGGCGUAUAUAAGCUUCUGUAUUUGUGGGUACCUGGCCUUGGACUCGUUUAAGACUUCGCUUAUGAAGUAAACGGGUCUCUGGACCUUGAAGACGUGACCUGGUUCAUCUCGCUCGACCACUAUUGCCGUGGAAACAACCCUGUCGGUUGCAGCAAUGUAAAGGAGUAGGUCUUCAUUGGGCUGAGGCGCUGUGAGGACAGGUGGUGAAGUGAGGAAGGUCUUAAGCUGAGUGAACGCAGCGUCGGCUUCCUCUGUCCAAGAAAAUUUUUCUGACGCUUUCAAUAGUUUGAAGAAAGGGAGGCCUUUUUCUCCCAGCCUUGAGAUGAAACGACUGAGGGCGGCCAUGCAUCCGGUUAGCUUCUGAAUAUCCUUGACAUUUUUCGGUGGUCGCAUGUCGAGUACGGCUUUGACUUUUGAAGGGUUUGGUCGUAUGCCGUCGCGACUGACGACGUUGCCGAGCAGUAGACCGGAAGGAACGCCGAAAAUGCAUUUCUUGGGGUUGAGCUUCCACUUGUACCUAUUGAGUGCCUUGAAGGUUCGGUCUAAGUUGUCGAUUAGGGUGCUCGCAUCCCUUGUUUUUACGACCACGUCGUCCACAUAGGCCUCGACGAGGUCAUCGCGAAUCUCGUCGUGGAGGCAUUGCUGGAUGGCCCUUUGAUAAGUGGCCCCGGCGUUUUUAAGUCCGAAAGACAUGGUAGUGUAGCAGUAUGCGCCGAAGGGUGUGAUGAAGGAUGUUUUGAUCUGAUCUUCUUCCUUUAGCGAGAUCUGGUGAUAACCAGAGUAGCAAUCUAGAAAGGAGAGGAGUUCGCAUCCGUCCGUUGAGUCGACCACCUCGUCGAUGCGAGGAAGACCAAAAGGAUCUUUAGGACAGUGUUUGUUGAGAUCGGUGUAAUCAACGCACAUUCUCUAUUCAUUAUUCUUUUUGCGUACAAGAACCGGAUUGGCGAGCCAAUCGGGGUGAUACACUUCUUUUAUGAAUCCGGCUGCUAGAAGCCGUGUUAUUUCUGUCCUAAUAGCCUCCUUUUUGUCACGAGCGAACUGUCGCAGUUUUUGCUUGAUUGGUCUUGCGGUCUUCGAGACAUUUAAGGAGUGCUCGAUCAGGUUUCGUGGGACACCGGGCAUGUCUGCGGGUUUCCAUGCGAAAACGCUCACGUUGUCCCUUAGAAACCUGACGAGCGCGUCUUCCUAUUUUGGAUCCAGGUUAGCCCCGAUGAGGGCUGUCUUCUCGGGGUUGCCUUCGACCAGCUGCACUUCUUUGUACUCCUUGGAUUUCGAGUUCUUUCUGGCUGUCUCCUGCUCAGGUAAUCGGAGCUGGUCGGGAGGCAGCUGUGCGGCUUGGUUUGCUGUUUCCGCCAUGCGGAUUGAGAGGUCGAUUGCCUCGGUGAUCUUGAAGCUUUCUUCUUUGCAGGUGUACGCGGUGUAAACGUUGCCUCUGAUGGUUAGGACACCCUUCUCCGUGGGCAUCUUAAGGACUAGGUAUGAGUAGUGCGGGACUGCCAUGAACUUUGUCAGCGAUGGGCGGCCCAGUAUGGCGUGAUAGGUCCCGUCGAAAUCCGCGACUACGAAGUUGAUGAACUCCGUCCGGAAGUGAUCGGGUGUGCCGAAUUGGACAGGCAAUGUUAUCUGUCCGAGGGGCACCGAACUUUGACCUGGCAAAACCCCCCAGAAUUGGGCGUCGUAAGGUUUUAGUUGUGCCGGUGAUAUCUUGAGGGCGGGCAGGCUGUUGCGGAAGAGGAUGUCGAUGGAGCUUCCCCCGUCCACGAGCACGCGCUCGAAUCUGAUGCUAUUGAUGCAGGGAUCAAGAAUCAGUGGGAAACGACCCGGCUCUGGGAUAGCGGCCCACUGGUCCUUCCUGCUGAACGAGAUCUCCCUGUGGGACCACGCGGGAAAUUUCGGAUCUGCGAUCAGCCCGUCCGUGCUGUCUAUGUUGAGGCAGGCUCUCUUUAACAGCUUUCUUUCUCGCUUGGACUCAGUGGAGACCUUGCCCCCGAAAAUGGAGUGGACCACGUCGGUGGGGCUGACGUAUUGGUGUCGGGGGUCCCUGUCUUGGUCCUCAUCCUCAUCUUCGUGGUCGUGCCCGUCGCGCUUGUUAUUUUUCUUGGCGGAGUCCUCUUGGGCGGCCCGCCGUGUAUAGAUACUUUUGAGGACGCGGCACUCUUCCAUGGUAUGGUUAGACUUUGGGUGUAGCUGGCACGGUCCCUUCAACGUUUUGUUGUAGUCGUCUUGGUAGUCCCGUCGUCCAUUGGGACGUUUGACCGUAUUUACUUCGUGGUCGUAUUCGCGAGGGCGCUUUCCUCUGAAGUCGUCGCGGCUGUCGCGCCGCCGAUCCCAACCCUCUCGGUGAUCGCGGUUGUCGGAGCGGCGGUGAUUUCUGUUGUCGUAGCGACCACGACCGUCAUCUCGCCGGGAAGGCUGGUCGGGGCCUCUCGCAUCGUCUCAGAUUAGUUUUUUUGCGUCAUCAGCAUCGGCGUAAUUUUUAGCCGUGGCGAGGAGCUCUGCUACCGUUGAUGGGCGCUUACGCAACAGCUUGUUCCUCAGCGCUUCAUGGAAACGCAAGCCCUUGAUAAAGGCUGAUAUGGCCUCGUCAUGAGAAAUCUUCGGGAUUUUGAGGCGCAUAUCCGAGAAUCGUCGGAUGUAAUCGCGCAGAGGUUCAUUCUUCCUGUCUCUUAUCCUUUCAAGGUCAUACUUGUUUCCGGGCUGCUCGCAUGUGGCGAUGAAGUUGUCGAUGAAAGCCUGGCGUAGCUCUUCCCAAGAGUCGAAGGAGUCCUCGGGCAAGCCGAGAAGCCACUGAUGACCAGCCUGGUCGAGGACUACGGGGAAGUAGUUAGCCAUGACGUGCUCAUCUCCUGCCGCUGAUCGGACGGCGAUUUCAUAGAGAGUGAUCCAGUUCUCUGGAUUUUCCUUGCCGUCGUAUUUUUUAAGUUUUUCGAGCUUGAAAUUGCGGGGCCACACGACCUGGCGGAGGUGUGAGGAGAACUGUCUUAGGCCCGGAGGACCGUGGGUCGCAUCGUACUCGAUGCGGCGCAGGUUUUCGUGGACUGCUCUCUCUGCGGCGCGCCUGUUGAUGCGGUCGCGGGCAUCUUUGGGAGGGAUGUUGUGGCGGAGAUCCCUGUGUUGAUCUUCUUCUUGGCCGCGUACGCCAUGAAUUUGCUUGCGGCGGCCAUCGGCGUCCCGACCACCAUCGUCGCGCCGCGAGUCCCCUCGACGGUUGUCGGGGGAGCGGCUGCGGUGACGCCUGCUGGGUGAGACCUGGCUACGAUUAGUCUGGUCGGAGGCGGCUUCCGUAUAAGAGACGUCCUGGACUCUCUUGAGCAGAGUGGCUGUCUGUCCCAUUGCGGCGAUCAGGUGUGCUCGGAUGCUGGUCCGGACUCCCUGGCAUUCAGGGGUGUCAGGAAGCCGAUCCAGGUUGGCCAUGGCGACAGCCACGUUGGCGCUUGGCGUUUUGUAGACCGGCUGGUCCCCGACCAUGUCAAAGGCAUCGUUGAGGUUACUUGGUGGCAUCUGUUGUUGCUCGUCCGCACGCCGUCGGGCGCGAUCGGCGUUACGCUGUUCGCGGAGUUGCCUCUGGUCAUCUGUUUCUCCGUCAACAGCCGGUUCGUCGGCGCUGACAUUGAACACAAUAUCCCCUCGCCGGGGGGGGGGGAAUAUCGGGAAUCGGUCGAAACCCGGAGGGUGUGAAGGAAAAUCCAGGUCGUAGCCCUCGUCUUCGGUGUUUAUAACCUCGGUGGGGACGGAGCCGGUGCUUGAGUUGGUGCUGGAAACCUGGCCGUCCCGUAGCUCUCGGAUUGUCACCAUGUUGACAUGGUGACGAUUGUUCCUUGUCGGCGACCAACCCGCCUUGCUGAAAACGGAUUGGACAUGCUGUGAGUAAACAGAGGCCGAGUUGUUCAGGCCGCAAGGAUAGUCUUCCUUUUUGAGCUCGACGGAUCGUCCUGAGGGGGUUGAGGUUAUCGUCAGGGACGUUCCCAGCCGUUCGUGUGUGGCGACACGAGUUGGCCGGCGGGAUUUCGAAAAAUCCGCUCGAGCAGCUUGGUCGGGACGGCGCAGAAUUCCAUCUAUUAGUUGGGAAACUUCGAGUAGCUUGGAGUCAGCGCGAUCGAGCGCUUGGAGGAGGUCCGAGCAGUCGAUCUCCUUUCCCUUGUAGAGUGGGAACGGUGGUCGGGAGCUUGGUGCCGUCAUGCGUGUGGUCGGAGACGGCGUGAUCUCAGAUCGGACCUGGAUCUCUUUCGGAACCGUGGUCGCGAAACCGCCGCUGCACGUCGUCCACGUGAUCUGGCCGACGGUGAACGUGAGGCCUUCGGGCACGGUCGCGGAAGCUGGGAUCGUGACCAUCUUGUUCGCCGGAAAAGUUGCACGCACACCCCCUACCUGGCGCGCCACUGUCGACGAAAGCUAGUCGGCAGUCUACCUUGGGGUAUACCCACGGUAGUAGUUUAUCGGUAGACGGUGCGCAAACUACGAACUCGAUGGUGACGCAAGACACGGACAAGCUUUUUAUCCAGGUUCGGCCGCCGAGUUGGCGUAAUACCUACGUCCUGCGUCUGGUUGUAUUGAUUUGUGCUGAGAGAAUAUAUGAUGUCCUAGGGGGGUCCCUCGCCCCUCCUUAUAUAGUCUGGAGGGCGGGGUUACGGAUCUGGAAACUAAUCCUAGUCGGUUACAAUUGCCAUGGAUAAUUCGAUGUUAAUUCCUAUUCUAACCGACUAGAAUCCUGCUUGAUCUCCACAUCUUGUUUCCUUGCGCGAAACUCCAGGUUGUCGGAUCAAGCCUUGAACUCGUCUCGUAAUGGACCAAGCCUCCUGGCCGAAGUCUAGCCGUAAGGGUAUAGGGGUUUAUACCCCCACAUCAUGUUAGAAGUAGCUAAAGCUACAACAGUGACUUAGUAAAUGUGAGCUCUAUCUCAGAAAAUAUAUUCUUCUCAUGUUUACCUCUUAGUAAAUAAAUUUGAACUGAUCUGACUCAGUAUAGAUAAAGAUCUUUGGUUCGAUCUAUGUGAUUAUAUAGUUGCAACUGUAGUAGUUACAAGUUUUAGAUAUUUAUUUGACUGACACAGUGUAGGCAUUAAGUAAACUGCUGUAUUUUUAAUAAAAAAUAAUAAUGUUAUCUCAUUUUGAUAUAAUCAGAGAACGCACACCUGCUCUUGCUUAAUCCAGUUACAUCUAUUUUAGUACUCAAUACUCGUUCACAAAUUAGCAGGUGUUGUGUAUUAGUCUGUUCGCCUAACAAAUCCAACUACACAUCCCUGUUCAAAGCAGCAGCAGUAACUUCUCCAGCAAGUGGAAGCACUAUAGCAGGAAGCAACACGUCAAAGUCAAGCACCAGCUCAGGCAAAGGCAGGGGCUAGCUGGACCAUUAUUCUGUGAAGUUUGAACUCUAAACCAAGCAUGACUUAUGGUCAGUAGAAGUACUCAUUCAGAGUUCAAAAUAAACUUCAAUUCAUUCUCAAAUUAGCUACUUGUAUUCAGCCACUAAUUAAUCUAUUGCUCAUUACAGUUAGUUAUCAAUUUUGAUAUUUUCUUGCCAGAUUAUUUUUCUGUCUAUUGGUAGCAGCAAUAUCGUUAGUUUUUAUAUUGUUUCAAAUACAUGUUGUCUGAUAUUUCCUCCUCAGAUUCAUGCAACAAUUAACAACUAACUACGAUCUCAAGAGAAGUGAAGAAGCUGAGGAACGGCUGGCGAGGACACAGAAAGAGAUGGAGGAGAUGAAGAAGCUGACAGAGAUGAACAGGAAGGCAAUGGAGGAGAACAAUACGCUGCUCAAGCGUAUCUUGUCCAUCAACAAUGCUUCUUCGACGUGCGAGCUGCUCAGCUGCUGGUAGUAGGACUAACUAGGAACUGUAGCUGCUGGUGCUUGACAUCCUGCUAAUUUUGAUUUUGCAAUGACUUGUGUUGUGGUGGUUUGCAAAUGUUCUAUUUAAACCAAGUGUGUGGUGAACUAAGUUUAUGCACUUAUGUUGCUAGUGAACCGAGUGUAGCAGCGACAAUUAAGUUAUGAGCAAUGGAUCUUUAGUUUUAUGGAUGUUUUC